UCAUAUGAACACGCUUGAGGUGCUGACCGGUUUUCGGACCGGUCGGAGAAUUGGGAAGCCGGUUUGAUGCCGGCGCUGCCCCCGCAACGGUAGCAGAACUCAAAUGCGACGGAAGUCCACUGGGCAAGAUGCCUGGGAAGGAGUCGCAGGUCCGAAAGGACGGUUCUGGAGCCCGGAAACCAGCCUCGACGUUUUGAACUCG
RNAcentral lists this non-coding RNA (202 nucleotides) under Ensifer fredii. RNAcentral also lists the same sequence under 1 other name. Lineage: Bacteria; Pseudomonadati; Pseudomonadota; Alphaproteobacteria; Hyphomicrobiales; Rhizobiaceae. The record is from RNAcentral.